AUUGAACGCUGGCGGCAGGCCUAACACAUGCAAGUCGAACGAGUGGCGGACGGGUGAGUAAUGUCUGGGACCCUGCCUGAUGGAGGGGGCUAACUACUGGAAACGGUAGCUAAUACCGCAUACCAUCAGAUGUGCCCAGAUGGGAUUAGCUAGUUGGUGGGGUAACGGCUCACCAAGGCGACGAUCCCUAGCUGGUCUGAGAGGAUUACCAGCCACACUGGAACUGAGACACGGCCCAGACUCCGACGGGAGGCAGCAGUGGGGAAUAUUGCACAAUGGGCGCAAGCCUGAUGCAGCCAUGCCGCGUGUAUGAAGAAGGCCUGCGGGUUGUAAAGUACUUUCAGCGGGGAGGCGUUACCCGCAGAAGAAGCACCGGCUAACUCCGUGCCAGCAGCCGCGGUAAUAC
This 406-nucleotide ribosomal RNA is filed under the name uncultured bacterium. Its description in RNAcentral is "partial 16S ribosomal RNA". It matches the Rfam family "Bacterial small subunit ribosomal RNA", at positions 30 to 526 of the family's 1533-position model. The record is from RNAcentral.